UCGUCCCCGUGUUUUUUGCAACGCGUUUGUCAAGCGUUGUGAUCGUCAAAGGGGACGCAUAUCACCAAGUGCCAAUAACUCGUUAUUGUAUGCCAUAGACGCGUUUGCAGGCUUGCAUCUCCAUAUAUUGGCGACACCU
Molecule: small nucleolar RNA, 139 nt
Filed under: Drosophila guanche
Lineage: Eukaryota; Metazoa; Arthropoda; Insecta; Diptera; Drosophilidae
Source: RNAcentral